GAUGAAGAACGCAGCGAAAUGCGAUAAGUAAUGCGAAUUGCAGAAUUUCCGUGAGUCAUCGAAUCUUUGAACGCACAUUGCGCCCAUUGGCAUUCCGAUGGGCAUGCCUGUUCGAGCGUCAUUAUCCUCCCUCAAACCUCGGGUUUGGUGUUGGACCCAAGUUGUGCGAUGAACAACUGGUCUUAAAGACAAUGACGGCGUCCGUGGGACCCUCGAUGCAACGAGCUUUAAGGAGCACACGCCGAGUUUUAAAAGGACCCUCCGGGCCGAUCUACCUCUCUUUCUCAGGUUGACCUCGGAUCAGGUAGGAAUACCCGCUGAACUUAAGCAUAUCAAUAAGCGGAGGA
RNAcentral lists this unclassified non-coding RNA (347 nucleotides) under soil metagenome. Its description in RNAcentral is "partial contains 5.8S ribosomal RNA, internal transcribed spacer 2, and large subunit ribosomal RNA". The stretch from base 1 to 121 matches the Rfam family "5.8S ribosomal RNA", at positions 35 to 154 of the family's 154-position model. The record is from RNAcentral.